RNAcentral lists this ribosomal RNA (403 nucleotides) under uncultured bacterium. Its description in RNAcentral is "partial 16S ribosomal RNA". It matches the Rfam family "Bacterial small subunit ribosomal RNA", at positions 28 to 526 of the family's 1533-position model. The record is from RNAcentral.
GACGAACGCUGGCGGCGUGCCUAAUACAUGCAAGUCGAACGCAGUGGGGACGGGUGAGUAACACGUGGGUAACCUCCCAUCAGAGGGGAUAACACUUGGAAACAGGUGCUAAACCGCUACUGAUGGAUGGACCCGGGGUGGAUUAGCUAGUUGGUGAGGUAACGGCUCACCAAGGCCACGAUGCCUAGCCGAGCUGAGAGGGUGAUCGGCCACACUGGGACUGAGACACGGCCCAGACUCCUACGGGAGGCAGCAGUGGGGAAUCUUGGGCAAUGGGCGAAAGUCUGACCGAGCAACGCCGCGUGAAUGAAGAAGGUUUUCGGGUCGUAAAACUCUGUUGUUGGAGAAGCGGUAUCUAACCAGAAAGCAACGGCUAACUCCGUGCCAGCCGCCGCGGUAAUUC